AAAAUCUAACUAAUAACACAAAUCAAAAAAGGUUGAAUCUAAAGAGAGAGAGAGAGAAAAAGACUUAGAUCGAGCAUAGAAGAGCAAGAGACAAUAAGAGAUGAGUAUUUUAGCUAAAGCUUUCUGGAUUGCCUGAUUGAUGAUGUUAUCCUCUGCUACUGUUUUUUGUUGUUUUCUUCUUACUGGAUAUGGUGUUCCUCUGGAUUCUUUGCAAUUUCUCUAGUAGCGCCG
This 231-nucleotide unclassified non-coding RNA is filed under the name Hevea brasiliensis (rubber tree). Lineage: Eukaryota; Viridiplantae; Streptophyta; Magnoliopsida; Malpighiales; Euphorbiaceae. The record is from RNAcentral.